This is an unclassified non-coding RNA of Erinaceus europaeus (western European hedgehog), 327 nucleotides long. Its record names the gene 7SK. It matches the Rfam family "7SK RNA". From Rfam's summary of the family: 7SK was discovered as an abundant small nuclear RNA in the mid-70s but a possible function has only recently been suggested. Two independent studies have found that 7SK RNA binds the CDK9/cyclin T complex (known as elongation factor P-TEFb). P-TEFb activates transcription by phosphorylating the C-terminal domain of RNA polymerase II. The record is from Ensembl. Lineage: Eukaryota; Metazoa; Chordata; Mammalia; Eulipotyphla; Erinaceidae.
GGAUGUGAGGGCAAUCUGGCUGCAACAUCUGCCACCCCAUUGAUUGCCAGGGUUGAUUCCACUAAUCUGGCUGGCUAGGCGGGCAUCCCCUUCCUCCCUCGCUGCUCUAUGUGUGUCCCUCCUGAAGCUGCACGCUGGAUUGAAAAGAACAGCCUUCCCUGAAUAGAGAUGGUCUUGGGUCAAGGGUAUACAAGUAGCUGCGCUCCCCUGCUAGAACCUCCAAACAAGCUCUCAAGGAUAAGAGGAGUACAAUUCCUACCUCCAGAGCUCCAUAUCCCAUCCCUUCCCCUGAUAGUUUACCUGUUCUUUAACCCUUUGGGAGUAUGG